GGGGGAAUAUUGGACAAUGGGGGAAACCCUGAUCCAGCAACGCCGCGUGGGCGAAGAAGGCCUUCGGGUUGUAAAGCCCUUUUCUGAGGGAAGAGGAAGGACGGUACCUCAGGAAUAAGUCUCGGCUAACUACGUGCCAGCAGCCGCGGUAAAACGUAGGAGGCGAGCGUUAUCCGGAUUUACUGGGCGUAAAGGGCAAGUAGGCGGUGGCCAAAGUUGGGCGUGACAUCUCCCGGCUCAACUGGGAGGGGUCGCUCAAAACUAGGCGACUUGAGGGCAGGAGAGGGAAGCGGAAUUCCUAGUGUAGCGGUGGAAUGCUCAGAUAUUAGGAAGAACACCAGUGGCGAAGGCGGCUUCCUGGCCUGUACCUGACGCUGAGAGGCGAAAGCUAGGGGAGCGAACGGG
RNAcentral lists this ribosomal RNA (405 nucleotides) under uncultured bacterium. Its description in RNAcentral is "bacterial SSU rRNA". It matches the Rfam family "Bacterial small subunit ribosomal RNA", at positions 355 to 776 of the family's 1533-position model. The record is from RNAcentral.